AGCCUUGAGGUGUUUAACAUGUUAGAUUGCAAAUCUAAAGUAGUAGGCUAACGUCUACCAGGGCUU
Molecule: transfer RNA, 66 nt
Filed under: Trematomus eulepidotus (blunt scalyhead)
Lineage: Eukaryota; Metazoa; Chordata; Actinopteri; Perciformes; Nototheniidae
Description: tRNA-Cys
Source: RNAcentral